This 649-nucleotide ribosomal RNA is filed under the name uncultured marine bacterium. RNAcentral's name for it is "bacterial SSU rRNA". It matches the Rfam family "Bacterial small subunit ribosomal RNA", at positions 97 to 781 of the family's 1533-position model. The record is from RNAcentral.
GGCAGACGGGUGAGUAACGCGUGGGAACGUGCCCUUUUCUACGGAAUAGCUUCUGGAAACGGAAGGUAAUACCGUAUACGCCCUUCGGGGGAAAGAUUUAUCGGUGAAGGAUCGGCCCGCGUUAGAUUAGUUUGUUGGUGGGGUAAUGGCCUACCAAGACUACGAUCUAUAGCUGGUCUGAGAGGAUGAUCAGCCACACUGGGACUGAGACACGGCCCAGACUCCUACGGGAGGCAGCAGUGGGGAAUCUUGCACAAUGGGCGAAAGCCUGAUGCAGCCAUGCCGCGUGAAUGAUGAAGGCCUUAGGGUUGUAAAAUUCUUUCGCCAGGGAUGAUAAUGACAGUACCUGGUAAAGAAGCCCCGGCUAACUUCGUGCCAGCAGCCGCGGUAAUACGAAGGGGGCUAGCGUUGUUCGGAAUUACUGGGCGUAAAGCGCGCGUAGGCGGGCUGUUAAGUCAGAUGUGAAAGCCCGGGGCUCAACCUCGGAAUUGCAUUUGAAACUAGCAGCCUAGAGACCAGGAGAGGUUAGCGGAAUACCGAGUGUAGAGGUGAAAUUCGUAGAUAUUCGGUGGAACACCAGUGGCGAAGGCGGCUAACUGGACUGGUACUGACGCUGAGGCGCGAAAGUGUGGGGAGCAAACAGGAUUAG